ACAUCAGAGCACUGGCUUGUCAGA
RNAcentral lists this non-coding RNA (24 nucleotides) under Cricetulus griseus (Chinese hamster). The record is from RNAcentral. Lineage: Eukaryota; Metazoa; Chordata; Mammalia; Rodentia; Cricetidae.